This 361-nucleotide long non-coding RNA is filed under the name Elaeis guineensis (African oil palm). RNAcentral describes it as "long non-coding RNA (EGUI_LNC053144)". Lineage: Eukaryota; Viridiplantae; Streptophyta; Magnoliopsida; Arecales; Arecaceae. The record is from RNAcentral.
UGAUAUAGCUAUCGUCCUAAUAAUAGUAUAUCAUUUGAUCAUGAACUUUAGGUUUAAGGACUAAACGAUAUAUCUUCCUAUAUCGAAUCAAAUAAUCCUAAAGACUUCAUCACAUAAUAGGAGUUCAAAAUAACAUGUACACAGUGAUGAAAAAACUAAAUAAUAUUUAUUAAUUUAUUAAUUCAUAUAUAAUUAUAAUAAUAAGCUUAACCAUCAACAGGCUGACGAUUGACUUUGGGACACAAUUUCCAAUAGACGUAACCAGAUUUGUGAAGUGAUAUUGGGUCUGCUAAGUAUCGAAGGGGAUGGCAACAAAUGCUAGAUUAUAUACUCCUUUACCUAUUCCAAAUCAUUCAUGGGA